AACGAACGCUGGCGGCAUGCCUAACACAUGCAAGUCGAACGAGACCUUCGGGUCUAGUGGCGCAUGGGUGCGUAACGCGUGGGAACCUGCCGUUAGGCUCGGGAUUACUCUCCGAAAGGGGUGCUAAUACCGGGUAAUGUAUUCGGACAAAAGAUUUAUCGUCUUUGGAUGGGCCGGCGUUGGAUUAGCUAGUUGGUAUGGUAAAAGCCUAUCAAGGCGACGAUCCAUAGCUGGGCUGAGAGGAUGAUCAGCGACACUGGGACUGAGACACGGCGCGGACUCCUACGGGAGGCAGCAGAGGGGAAUAUUGGAAAAUGGGCUAAAGCAUGAUCCAGCAAUGCCGGGAGAGUGAUGAAGUCCUUAGGGUAGUAAAGCUGUUUUACCCGGGAUGAUAAUGACAGUACCGGGAGAAUAAGCACCGGCUAACUCCGUG
Molecule: ribosomal RNA, 433 nt
Filed under: uncultured bacterium
Lineage: Bacteria
Description: partial 16S ribosomal RNA
Rfam family: Bacterial small subunit ribosomal RNA
Source: RNAcentral